RNAcentral lists this ribosomal RNA (365 nucleotides) under Pterostichus niger. RNAcentral describes it as "SSU rRNA". It matches the Rfam family "Eukaryotic small subunit ribosomal RNA", at positions 583 to 885 of the family's 1831-position model. The record is from RNAcentral. Lineage: Eukaryota; Metazoa; Arthropoda; Insecta; Coleoptera; Carabidae.
UUCCAGCUCCAAUAGCGUAUAUUAAAGUUGUUGCGGUUAAAAAGCUCGUAGUUGAAUUUGUGUCCCGCACUGUCGGUUCACCGCCCGCGGUGCUAACUGGCAUGUUUGCGGGACGUCCUGCCGGUGGGUGUUCAGUAGUGAUUGACUUUCGGGUCUUUUACUAUUUCAUCCGACUUUAUAAUCCUGUCGCGGUGCUCUUAAUUGAGUGUCGAGGCGGGCCGGCACGUUUACUUUGAACAAAUUAGAGUGCUCAAAGCAGGCUAAUUAAUGCCUGAAUAAUUAGUGCAUGGAAUAAUGGAACAGGACCUUGGUUCUAUUUUGUUGGUUUUCGGAAUUCCAAGGUAAUGAUUAAUAGGGACAGAUGG